AUAGACAAAUGGGAGCGCACUCGUAGGAUAUCAAAUAUUCAAGGGACUCAAUUUCAUCUUCCAACCACACUCAAAAAAAGAUAAUAGAAAAUCUGAACAGAAGAAAGUAAAAGAAAAAGAAAACAAGAAACAUAGUGCAGGCUUGCAGGAGGUGACUAAAUUUAUUAGAAAGUUGUGAUGAGAUGCUUUCCUUUGGAGCUGCAAAUCCCCUGCUAAAUAUGCAUUUGCAACUUGUUAGAAAAAGUUGUAAAAAGCAAUUAUUACAAUGAACAAUUUAAAUGAAGUUGAACCAUAAGCAAACUAUAGAAUCACACUGACUUGUCCAGUUGCUGGGAACUGAGGCUUCAAAACAAUAACAGUAGAUUGGGAAAAAAAAAAAAAAAAAGAGCAGUCUUUCAGUGCUUCCACCGAGCUGUCAUCCCCAUGUUCUCUCUUCAAAUUCCUUAGCUUUUUCAGACUCGCCCAAGGAGGUCCUUGCACAACCAAUCGUAGCCCUUCCCCACAAAG
RNAcentral lists this long non-coding RNA (507 nucleotides) under Citrus maxima (pomelo). Its description in RNAcentral is "long non-coding RNA (CMAX_LNC003245)". The record is from RNAcentral. Lineage: Eukaryota; Viridiplantae; Streptophyta; Magnoliopsida; Sapindales; Rutaceae.